Molecule: transfer RNA, 72 nt
Filed under: Ictidomys tridecemlineatus (thirteen-lined ground squirrel)
Lineage: Eukaryota; Metazoa; Chordata; Mammalia; Rodentia; Sciuridae
Description: Spermophilus tridecemlineatus (thirteen-lined ground squirrel) tRNA
Rfam family: tRNA
About the family: Transfer RNA (tRNA) molecules are approximately 80 nucleotides in length.
Source: Rfam by way of RNAcentral
GGGGAUGUAGCUCAAUGGUAGAGCACAGGUUCAGCAUGCAUAAGGCCCUGGGUUCAUAUCCCAGUGUCAUUU